Molecule: long non-coding RNA, 314 nt
Filed under: Heterocephalus glaber (naked mole-rat)
Lineage: Eukaryota; Metazoa; Chordata; Mammalia; Rodentia; Bathyergidae
Description: lncRNA (ENSHGLG00000043203.1)
Source: RNAcentral
AUCAAACUCAGGGCUUUGAACAUGCUAGCCAAGUGCUCUACCACUGCUUUACACCCGUAACACUCCAUGUGUCUUUAAAACAAUGUAAAUAAAUGAUUCGUCUGGUCUCAUGAUGGAACUGUGUCUAGUCUCUUUCUGUCCUGGCUAAAUAACUGGCCAGGACAACCGAUUAACAGUGGCAAAGUUUGUUCAAGAAAGCAAAAAUGAAGAGUGGGAGAGAAAUCGGCUCUGCAGAGGGAGCUUGGGCCAAGUAAAGAGAAAAAGAGGGGAUUGAACUCGGGACCUUGCAUUUGCGAGGCAGGUGGUGGAACCAC